Molecule: long non-coding RNA, 767 nt
Organism: Leopardus geoffroyi (Geoffroy's cat)
Lineage: Eukaryota; Metazoa; Chordata; Mammalia; Carnivora; Felidae
Exons: 4
Source: RefSeq, a predicted model, not a curated record
UCCUGGCCAAAAUUGUUUCUUACAAAAUUCUCUAACUCAGCAAAGCAGCUAAUGAUACUCUUGAGUCUCAUUUUCUGUCUCUCCAGGCUCCAACUGCUUUUGACCAUACCACUCAGGAUUAAGGCAUCUGGACUUACCUGUAUGUGACAGAUGUCCCUUGGGCCUGGACAACAGAAGAAGUUGCCAUGAGAUUUUGGGCCUUCUGGCUUGAGCUCAGGAUCUAGGAAUGUGGUUAGAAGAGGACAAAAAAUAUUGCCUGAGAAGUCACUCGCUGUGCCAUUGAUUGGCCCAUGACUCAGCAGAGAUCUUUCCCCAAGAGCAUAUUUUACGAUGAAACAAAGGAUGAGACCCCAGAGUACAGAAUGAAUCUACGUGUGUACUGGGAACUGGGAGAUGAGUGCAAACGUGAGUGCAAAGAGAGAAAGAAGAUGGGAGGCCCCAUGAUUCUGCUUCCGUGGCAACAGCCAAAGCCAUAUUCUGCCACUUCUACCGUAUCUCUUCUAUUCUCUAGAUGGCGGCUGCUCAGCCAAAGGAAAGAAUUCGAUCUGAGGUUGGAGGAAGAGGAAUGAGUCCACAGAUACACAUUUUGGAUGUGCUGCCUGGAGAUGAUGCAAGUGCUGUCAAGUUUCCCAACCUGGAUUUUAUUUCCUUCAUGAUGAGAAAUAGAAGUACAUAAUUUGGCAGAGAGAAAAGUGAUUAUCCUGUUGGUUAAGAGGAAAUUGUUUUAGUGAUAUGAAAAAUAAAAAAUCACUACAAAUUCCAAGUGA